Molecule: ribosomal RNA, 253 nt
Filed under: uncultured bacterium
Lineage: Bacteria
Description: partial 16S ribosomal RNA
Rfam family: Bacterial small subunit ribosomal RNA
Source: RNAcentral
UACGUAGGGUGCGAGCGUUAAUCGGAAUUACUGGGCGUAAAGCGUGCGCAGGCGGCUAUUUAAGCUUGCUGUGAAAGCCCCGGGCUUAACCUGGGAAUUGCAGUGAGGACUGGAUGGCUGGAGUGUGGCAGAGGGGGGUGGAAUUCCACGUGUAGCAGUGAAAUGCGUAGAGAUGUGGAGGAACACCGAUGGCGAAGGCAGCCCCCUGGGCUAACACUGACGCUCAGGCACGAAAGCGUGGGGAGCAAACAGG